Molecule: ribosomal RNA, 440 nt
Filed under: uncultured bacterium
Lineage: Bacteria
Description: partial 16S ribosomal RNA
Rfam family: Bacterial small subunit ribosomal RNA
Source: RNAcentral
CUACGGGCGGCACCAGUGAGGAAUAUUGCACAAUGGGGGGAACCCUGAUGCAGCAACGCCGCGUGGAGGAUGACGCAUUUCGGUGUGUAAACUCCUUUUAUAUGUCAAGAAAAUGACGGUAGCAUAUGAAUAAGCACCGGCUAACUCCGUGCCAGCAGCCGCUGGUAAUACGGAGGGUGCAAGCGUUACUCGGAAUCACUGGGCGUAAAGGACGCGUAGGCGGGUUGGAAAGUCAGGUGUGAAAUCCUACAGCUUAACUGUAGAACUGCACUUGAAACUUCUAAUCUAGAGUAUGGGAGGGGGAGAUGUAAUUAGUGGUGUAGGGGUAAAAUCCGUAGAUAUCACUAGGAAUACCUAAAGCGAAGGCGAUCUCCUGGAACAUUACUGACGCUAAGGCGUGAAAGCGUGGGGAGCAAACAGGAUUAGAUACCCCUGUAGUC